CCUUGCCUGGAAAACAGUGGGAUUUGACUGAAAAGUAAACGCAGCCUGAGGCUACAUUAAAGGGACACUAUCAGCCUGAGAGCCACCCUCCUCUGUGAAAAUGCUGUGCUGAUCAUUGCUGCGAAUGAUACUGAAACUGGAGGAUGUUUAGGUUGAAGAAGGUGUUUCUCCCUGCGUGCUGCGUUUUGUGUGUUUUGUUGCACAUCACUUCCCAGCUUGGACUUUGGAGCUUGCCUGCGUGGGAGGAAAUCCCAUGUUGCUCUGCUGAGACCGGCGCAGGUUCAAAACGUGAAGGAUUUUUCGGAGCGUUCAGUGCAUGAGCCGGUGCUGACUGGCUUUCGUGGCCUCUGGACCCAGCUGGCUGGUGCUGCAGCAGCCUGGGGAGGUGCAGCCCGGCUGCUAGAGGAGCUUCUCAGCUCGGCACCCCUCUUCCAGCAGACCUUCAUUAAAAAGGGCUAUGAAUUUUCCACCCAAUUGUAUCUACGCCGUUCAGCAGCCUCCACUGAGGUGCAGCCCGGCGCGUGGAGAGGUUCGGUUUGCAUUCGCUAGAUGUCACUCUGUACAAAGACUAUCAGAAGCUGCUGGAACGGAUGAUUAAAUGAGGAAAAAAAAAAGCUAUUUGGAGAGGGUGGGUAAGUGACUGAAAAACAUAUUUUCAAUUACUUCCGAAUAAGAAGGUUUACCCCAUCCCUAUCUCCCUACAGUUUGCAAGAGACACUCAGUGCUGCUUGGUAAAAUGAAACCCCUCAGAGCCUUUGGAGAGA
This 764-nucleotide long non-coding RNA is filed under the name Dromaius novaehollandiae (emu). RNAcentral's name for it is "lncRNA (ENSDNVG00000002660.1)". The record is from RNAcentral. Lineage: Eukaryota; Metazoa; Chordata; Aves; Casuariiformes; Dromaiidae.